AGAGGAAAAGAUUCAUGGACGGGUGAGCUCUCUCUCUUUCUCCUUUUAUUAUCUUUGGCAAUAUCUAGUCUGUCGAUCUCUCUCUCUCGCCCUCCUUUUAUCAUCUCUGACAAUAUCUAGUCUGUUGAAACUGUACUGGUGUUUUUCUUUUUUUCUAAAUGUAAUGUUCAACGCUAAGCUGUACCAGUGUUUUUCUUUCGUAGGUUUUAAACCAUUUGUUAUAUCU
RNAcentral lists this unclassified non-coding RNA (226 nucleotides) under Hevea brasiliensis (rubber tree). The record is from RNAcentral. Lineage: Eukaryota; Viridiplantae; Streptophyta; Magnoliopsida; Malpighiales; Euphorbiaceae.